AGCGAACGCUGGCGGCAGGCCUAACACAUGCAAGUCGAACGAACCUUUCGGGGUUAGUGGCGGACGGGUGAGUAACACGUGGGAACGUGCCUUUAGGUUCGGAAUAACUCAGGGAAACUUGUGCUAAUACCGAAUGUGCCCUUCGGGGGAAAGAUUAAUCGCCUUUAGAGCGGCCCGCGUCUGAUUAGCUAGUUGGUUGAGGUAAUGGCUCACCAAGGCGACGAUCAGUAGCUGGUCUGAGAGGAUGAUCAGCCACAUUGGGACUGAGACACGGCCCAAACUCCUACGGGAGGCAGCAGUGGGGAAUCUUGCGCAAUGGGCGAAAGCCUGACGCAGCCAUGCCGCGUGAAUGAUGAAGGUCUUAGGAUUGUAAAAUUCUUUCACCGGAGACGAUAAUGACGGUACCCGGAGAAGAAGCCCCGGCUAACUUCGUG
This 434-nucleotide ribosomal RNA is filed under the name uncultured bacterium. RNAcentral describes it as "partial 16S ribosomal RNA". It matches the Rfam family "Bacterial small subunit ribosomal RNA", at positions 29 to 507 of the family's 1533-position model. The record is from RNAcentral.